UAAAACUUUCAACAACGGAUCUCUUGGUUCUGGCAUCGAUGAAGAACGCAGCGAAAUGCGAUAAGUAAUGUGAAUUGCAGAAUUCAGUGAAUCAUCGAAUCUUUGAACGCACAUU
Molecule: ribosomal RNA, 115 nt
Filed under: uncultured fungus
Lineage: Eukaryota; Fungi
Description: 5.8S ribosomal RNA
Rfam family: 5.8S ribosomal RNA
About the family: 5.8S ribosomal RNA (5.8S rRNA) is a component of the large subunit of the eukaryotic ribosome.
Source: RNAcentral